UAUAAAAGCGUGCCAUUUUGAGUGUUAAGAGUAACAAUUGACUCUCUACUCCUCUCCAUCAUAAAAGCUUUUUACCAGUUUUACAAAAUCAAUGGCCGGAAAAAGUAAGAUUCUGUUCAUCGGCGGUACUGGCUACAUAGGAAAGUUCAUCGUGGAAGCUAGUGCUAAAGCUGGUCACAAUACAUUUGUCUUCGUCAGAGAAUCCACUCUUUUCGAUCCUACCAAAACCAAACUCAUCGAUACUUUCAAAAGUUUUGGCGUCACUUUCCUCCAUGGAGAUUUAUAUGAUCAUGAGAGUUUGGUGAAGGCGAUAAAGCAAGUGGAUGUUGUGAUCUCUACUGUAGGUCAUGCCCUUUUAGCUGAUCAGGUCAAGAUUAUUGCUGCUAUCAAAGAAGCUGGCAAUGUCAAGAGAUUCUUUCCCUCUGAAUUUGGGAACGAUGUAGAUCGUGUCCAUGCUGUCGAGCCUGCUAAAACAGCAUUUAAUACUAAAGCUCAAAUUCGUCGCGUUGUUGAGGCUGAAGGAAUACCAUUCACUUUUGUGGUCAACUUCUUCUUUUCUGGUUAUUUUCUUCCGAAUUUGGCACAGUCUGGACCUGUAGGUCCUCCUAAAGAUGAAGUCGUCAUCUUAGGAGAUGGCAAUACUAAAGCUGUUUUUACCAAGGAAGAAGACAUUGCUACCUAUACCAUAAAGACUGUCGAUGAUCCAAA
Molecule: unclassified non-coding RNA, 708 nt
Filed under: Hevea brasiliensis (rubber tree)
Lineage: Eukaryota; Viridiplantae; Streptophyta; Magnoliopsida; Malpighiales; Euphorbiaceae
Source: RNAcentral